GUGCAGGCUUAUUAUAAGGGAGCUCAUGACCAUCUAUUACCUGAUCGGGAUUGGGCAUGGACUCAUGGUUGCUCGGAGCUAUCGCCGGUUCCGACUCUCUUGGUGCCUCAGGUCAGGAAAUGAUGCAAUGAGAGGCUCAGGAAAUGAUGCAAUGGGAGACUCAGAAGAUGGCACAUCAGUAGUAGAGAAAUCAAAGAACCGAUCUUCACUCCAUGUCUCCCCCUGAAGAAAGGGCUUUGGGAAGUAACGAGUGGUUUCAAAGAGCGUGACAUCAAGGCUAACAUACAGUUUUUGUGUGAUAGGAUCAUAACAUUUGUAGCCUUUCUGAGUAGGAGAGUAACCAACAAAAACACACUUAAUGGAACGAGGAUCCAAUUUAUCCCGAUUGUGAGCAUGAACAUGAACAAAGGCAGUACAUCCAAAGAUUUUCAGAGAGAGCUUGGAGUGGAGCCGAGAGGAGUGGUGAAGCAAAGAACCCGACUAGGCAUUCGAUUAAUGAGAAAUGUAGCUAUCAAAAUGGCAUCACCCCAAAAAUACUUUUUCAUAUUUGUAGUUAACAUCAAUGCUCGAGCUACUUCAAGAAUAUGUCUAUUUUUACGUUCAGCCACCCCAUUUUGUUGAGGGGUAUGCACACAGGAACUUUGAUAAACAAUUCCAUUUUCUUGAAGAUAAUGUCCCACGAUAUCAUUGAAAUAUUCCGUACAAUUAUCAGUACGUAAAAUUUGAAUGUGAGUUUGGAAUUGUGUUUGAA
This is a long non-coding RNA of Malania oleifera, 751 nucleotides long. RefSeq lists it as uncharacterized. The transcript has 2 exons. The record is from RefSeq and is a predicted model, not a curated record. Lineage: Eukaryota; Viridiplantae; Streptophyta; Magnoliopsida; Santalales; Ximeniaceae.